Melospiza melodia melodia is the source of this 296-nucleotide long non-coding RNA. RefSeq lists it as uncharacterized. The record is from RefSeq and is a predicted model, not a curated record. The transcript has 3 exons. NCBI's taxonomy places the organism in Eukaryota, Metazoa, Chordata, Aves, Passeriformes, Passerellidae.
CAGACCACGGCCAAGGGGCUGCCCCGGCGGCUCCCGUCGGUCCCGGACAUGGACCCUGCCCUCCAGGCGCACAACACCUCCGGCUGUGUCUGCCCCGUGCGCCCCGGCCCUCCCGGCCCUCCCGGCCCAAAGGGAGAGAAGGGUGACCGAGGGUUCCCCGGAGAGAGAGGCCAGCCCGGAUUCUUAGGGGAGAGGGGGAAGCCCGGCAGCCCAGGACAGCCGGGUCACCAGGGUCCCCGGGGCCCUCCGGGACCACCGGGACCCCCGGGACCCCCAGGUGCUGGGGGAGCCCGGGG